AGCCCGUUGGUGAGGUAACGGCUCACCAAGGCGACGAUCGAUAGGUGGUCUGAGAGGAUGAUCACCCAGACUGGGACUGAGACACGGCCCAGACUCCUACGGGAGGCAGCAGUCGGGAAUUUUGCUCAAUGGGGGAAACCCUGAAGCAGCAACGCCGCGUGAGGGAUGACGGCCUUCGGGUUGUAAACUUCUUUUGUCAGGGACGAUAAUGACGGUACCUGAAGAAUAAGCCACGGCUAACUACGUGCCAGCAGCCGCGGUAAUACGUAGGUGGCAAGCGUUGUCCGGAUUUACUGGGCGUAAGAGCGCGCAGGCGGCCAGGUCAGUCGAAUGUGAAAGCCCCCGGCUCAACUGGGGAAGGUCGUUCGAUACUGCUUGGCUCGAAGGUAGGAGAGGGAAGUGGAAUUUCAGGUGUAGUGGUGAAAUGCGUAGAUAUCUGAAGGAACACCAGUGGCGAAGGCGACUUUCUGGCCUAUUCUUGACGCUGAGGCGCGAAAGCUAGGGGAGCGAACGGGAUUAGAUACCCCGGUAGUCCUAGCCGUAAACGAUGAACACUAGAUGUUGGCGGUAUCAACCCCGCCAGUGUCGCAGCUAACGCAUUAAGUGUUCCGCCUGGGGAGUACGGCCGCAAGGCUAAAACUCUAAGGAAUUGACGGGGGCCCGCACAAGCAGCGGAGCGUGGGGUUUAAUUCGACGCAACGCGAAGAACCUUACCAAGGCUUGACAUGACCAGGAAUCCGGCGGAAACGUCGGCGCCUCGCAAGAGGCCUGGCCACAGGUGUUGCAUGGCUGUCGUCAGCUCGUGUCGUGAGAUGUUGGUUAAGUCCCGCAACGAGCGCAACCCCUACUAUGUGUUGUAUCACUCACAUGGGACUGCCGAGAGAAACUCGGAGGAAGGUGGGGAUGACGUCAAGUCAGCAUGGCCCUUACGUCUUGGGCUACACCCACGCUACAAUGGCCGGUACAACGGGCUGCGAAACCGCGAGGUGGAGCUAAUCCCUUAAAGCCGGUCUCAGUUCGGAUCGCAGGCUGCAACUCGCCUGCGUGAAGCCGGAGUUGCUAGUAACCGUGGGUCAGCAUACCGCGGUGAAUAUGUUCCCGGGCCUUGUACACACCGCCCGUCACGUCAUGGAAGCCGACAACACCCGAAGCCAGUGAGCCAACCGCAAGGAGGCAGCUGUCGAAGGUGGGGUUGGUGACUGGGACGAAGUCGUAACAAGGUAGCCGUACCGGAGGGUGCGGCUG
Molecule: ribosomal RNA, 1245 nt
Filed under: metagenome
Description: bacterial SSU rRNA
Rfam family: Bacterial small subunit ribosomal RNA
Source: RNAcentral